UACGGGGGGGGCAAGCGUUGUUCGGAAUUACUGGGCGUAAAGGGCGCGUAGGCGGCCUGCUAAGUCGGAUGUGAAAUCCCUCGGCUCAACCGAGGAACUGCAUCCGAUACUGGCGGGCUUGAAUCCGGGAGAGGGAUGUGGAAUUCCAGGUGUAGCGGUGAAAUGCGUAGAUAUCUGGAGGAACACCGGUGGCGAAGGCGGCGUUCUGGACUGCAACUGACACUGAGGAACGAAAGCCAGGGGAGCAAACGGG
RNAcentral lists this ribosomal RNA (253 nucleotides) under uncultured bacterium. RNAcentral's name for it is "partial 16S ribosomal RNA". It matches the Rfam family "Bacterial small subunit ribosomal RNA", at positions 524 to 776 of the family's 1533-position model. The record is from RNAcentral.